This is a small nucleolar RNA of Hucho hucho (huchen), 137 nucleotides long. NCBI's taxonomy places the organism in Eukaryota, Metazoa, Chordata, Actinopteri, Salmoniformes, Salmonidae. The record is from Ensembl.
UGCAGCCUUGUCAAAUUCGGUGCUUCCUCUACAAUGGACCGCACUGGCCCAAAUGGCUGCCACAGUGAACCUGUAGUUCAUGGGCCCCACAUCCCUUUUGCAUGGGUGUUGGGGAUAAAUUUGUACUACAGACAAUU